Molecule: ribosomal RNA, 506 nt
Filed under: uncultured bacterium
Lineage: Bacteria
Description: partial 16S ribosomal RNA
Rfam family: Bacterial small subunit ribosomal RNA
Source: RNAcentral
AUUGAACGCUGGCGGCACGCCUAACACAUGCAAGUCGAGCGGCAGCAUGCUUAGUAGCAAUACUAAGUGAUGGCGAGCGGCGGACGGGUGAGGAACACGUAGGAACCUGCCCAAGAGUGGGGGAUAACUAAGGGAAACUUUAGCUAAUACCGCAUAAUUCUCUGAGGAGAAAAGUUGCCCGUAAGGGUAGCGCUUUUGGAGGGGCCUGCGUCCGAUUAGCUAGUUGGUGAGGUAAUAGCUCACCAAGGCGAUGAUCGGUAACUGGUCUGAGAGGACGACCAGUCACACUGGGACUGAGACACGGCCCAGACUCCUACGGGAGGCAGCAGUGGGGAAUAUUGGACAAUGGGGGGAACCCUGAUCCAGCCAUGCCGCGUGUGUGAAGAAGGCCUUAUGGUUGUAAAGCAUUUUAAGCGAGGAGGAGGCUACUCUAGUUAAUACCUAGGGAUAGUGGACGUUACUCGCAGAAUAAGCACCGGCUAACUCUGUGCCAGCCGCCGCAGUAA